UGAGGAAUAUUGGUCAAUGGGGGAAACCCUGACGCAGCAACGCCGCGUGAGUGAGGAAGGCCUUCGGGUCGUAAAGCUCUGUCAGAUGGGAAGAAAUGGGUGGGGGUGAAUAUCGUCCACCCUUGACGGUACCAUCCGAGGAAGCACCGGCUAACUCCGUGCCAGCAGCCGCGGUAAUACGGGGGGUGCAAGCGUUGUUCGGAAUCAUUGGGCGUAAAGCGCGCGCAGGCGGCUUGGUAAGUCAGAUGUGAAAGCCCUGGGCUUAACCCAGGAAGUGCAUUUGAUACUGCCUCGCUAGAGUACGGGAGAGGAAAGUGGAAUUCCUGGUGUAGAGGUGAAAUUCGUAGAUAUCAGGAGGAACACCGGUGGCGAAGGUGACUUUCUGGCCCGAUACUGACGCUCAGGCGCGAAAGCGUGGGGAGCAAACAG
RNAcentral lists this ribosomal RNA (429 nucleotides) under uncultured bacterium. RNAcentral describes it as "bacterial SSU rRNA". It matches the Rfam family "Bacterial small subunit ribosomal RNA", at positions 355 to 775 of the family's 1533-position model. The record is from RNAcentral.